This 213-nucleotide small nucleolar RNA is filed under the name Carlito syrichta (Philippine tarsier). RNAcentral's name for it is "Small nucleolar RNA U3 (ENSTSYG00000031423.1)". It matches the Rfam family "Small nucleolar RNA U3". From Rfam's summary of the family: Small nucleolar RNAs (snoRNAs) are involved in the processing and modification of rRNA in the nucleolus. There are two main classes of snoRNAs: the box C/D class, and the box H/ACA class. The record is from Rfam by way of RNAcentral. Lineage: Eukaryota; Metazoa; Chordata; Mammalia; Primates; Tarsiidae.
CAGACUGUACUUUCAGGGAUCAUUUCUGUAGUUCAUUACUAGAGAAGUUUCUUUGAUUGUGUAGAGCACUGAAAACCACAAACAGGAGGCAUAGCAUUCUCUACUGGGCAUAAAGUCAGCUCUUGGUGUUGCUUCACUGCAAUUGCCAUUUACCACUGAUGAUGGUUCUCUUUCUCUGGAAAAGUAAGGGGGAGAGGAUGCAGUCUGAGUGGC